Molecule: non-coding RNA, 125 nt
Organism: Triticum aestivum (bread wheat)
Lineage: Eukaryota; Viridiplantae; Streptophyta; Magnoliopsida; Poales; Poaceae
Source: Rfam
UUCGUACUCCCUCCGUCCGGAAAUACUUGUCAUAGAAAUGGAUACAAAUGGAUGUAUCUAGAACUAAAAUACAUCUAGAUACAUCCAUUCGGCGGACAAGUAUUUUCGGACGGAGGGAGUAUUAG